Suricata suricatta (meerkat) is the source of this 700-nucleotide long non-coding RNA. RefSeq lists it as uncharacterized. The record is from RefSeq and is a predicted model, not a curated record. The transcript has 3 exons. NCBI's taxonomy places the organism in Eukaryota, Metazoa, Chordata, Mammalia, Carnivora, Herpestidae.
CCCGGCACCAAGUGUGAGCGCACAGAGCAGAAACACUAGUUGUCCGGAGGUUCUGCCGGUCUGCACGGUAGGACUUGUAGCUGCUAGACCUUCUCUUCCUCUGUGGAAACACCGGGGCUCUUUGAGGGAAUAUGGUGUCAAGAUUUUUCCAUCUCAACCUGAUUUUUAAAGAAUCAGGCGAUGUGGCGACAUGGAAGGCAUUGAGAAGCAGAGCUGGUGAAGUCGUUGGUGGGAGCAACAGCUGCCUGGAUGAGGAGGACUUUGCCUGGAGACGGGGAGACUCCGAGAAUAAGGGGGAACCAUGGUGCAGUCGGCUGACUGCAGGGCUGCACCCUCCCCAAGAUGUCCUCAUUCUAAUCCGCGGAGCCUGUGUCUCUUACCUCGCAAGGGACUUUGCAGGAGUGAUGAAGUUGGCCCUGAGUCCGGGAGGUCAGCAUGAAUUAUCCAGCAGCUUGCCCAGGUGUGAGGGCACACUGAAAGCCCGGGAACAUUCACCUGCAGGAACUGGAGCAGACGAAUAAAGGAGCAGAGUUCAAACAGCAGGAUGCCAGCUCUGCCAGUUACUUGGUGGUAUAGUUUCUGAGCCCUUUUUCACCUGCAAAACAACAAUAACAAGAGAUACUCCCUCAUUAGGUUAUGGCCAGAGAGCCCCAUGGGGUGCUAGGUGUGGAGCUGGCACUCAGUAAAUACUAAAUAAGUG